This 261-nucleotide unclassified non-coding RNA is filed under the name Hevea brasiliensis (rubber tree). The record is from RNAcentral. Lineage: Eukaryota; Viridiplantae; Streptophyta; Magnoliopsida; Malpighiales; Euphorbiaceae.
AAGAAUUGCUAUCGGUUACUUCAUCUUUGGAAUUUGCUACACUGAGCCCUUUGCUGGGAUCAGGCACCAGUCCUGAACCAUUUUCCAAAUUGCUAGGUGAUUCAUGAAAUAGUUUCAAAGAUCUAUCCAAGAGAUUAGGCAACUUCCCGUAGUUAUCAAGCGCAGGUUCGUCAUUCUCCUUUCCCUGUGAAUCAAAGGCACGAGAGCCGUUUAAACCCAAAGCACCUAAGUGACUAGUUCCUAAAGAAUUGAACAUAAAAG